GAUGAACGCUGGCGGCGUGCCUAAUACAUGCAAGUCGAGCGAACGGACGAGAAGCUUGCUUCUCUGAUGUUAGCGGCGGACGGGUGAGUAACACGUGGAUAACCUACCUAUAAGACUGGGAUAACUUCGGGAAACCGGAGCUAAUACCGGAUAAUAUUUUGAACCGCAUGGUUCAAAAGUGAAAGACGGUCUUGCUGUCACUUAUAGAUGGAUCCGCGCUGCAUUAGCUAGUUGGUAAGGUAACGGCUUACCAAGGCAACGAUGCAUAGCCGACCUGAGAGGGUGAUCGGCCACACUGGAACUGAGACACGGUCCAGACUCCUACGGGAGGCAGCAGUAGGGAAUCUUCCGCAAUGGGCGAAAGCCUGACGGAGCAACGCCGCGUGAGUGAUGAAGGUCUUCGGAUCGUAAAACUCUGUUAUUAGGGAAGAACAUAUGUGUAAGUAACUGUGCACAUCUUGACGGUACCUAAUCAGAAAGCCACGGCUAACUACGUGCCAGCAGCCGCGGUAAUACGUAGGUGGCAAGCGUUAUCCGGAAUUAUUGGGCGUAAAGCGCGCGUAGGCGGUUUUUUAAGUCUGAUGUGAAAGCCCACGGCUCAACCGUGGAGGGUCAUUGGAAACUGGAAAACUUGAGUGCAGAAGAGGAAAGUGGAAUUCCAUGUGUAGCGGUGAAAUGCGCAGAGAUAUGGAGGAACACCAGUGGCGAAGGCGACUUUCUGGUCUGUAACUGACGCUGAUGUGCGAAAGCGUGGGGAUCAAACAGGAUUAGAUACCCUGGUAGUCCACGCCGUAAACGAUGAGUGCUAAGUGUUAGGGGGUUUCCGCCCCUUAGUGCUGCAGCUAACGCAUUAAGCACUCCGCCUGGGGAGUACGACCGCAAGGUUGAAACUCAAAGGAAUUGACGGGGACCCGCACAAGCGGUGGAGCAUGUGGUUUAAUUCGAAGCAGCGCGAAGAACCUUACCAAAUCUUGACAUCCUUUGACAACUCUAGAGAUAGAGCCUUCCCCUUCGGGGGACAAAGUGACAGGUGGUGCAUGGUUGUCGUCAGCUCGUGUCGUGAGAUGUUGGGUUAAGUCCCGCAACGAGCGCAACCCUUAAGCUUAGUUGCCAUCAUUAAGUUGGGCACUCUAAGUUGACUGCCGGUGACAAACCGGAGGAAGGUGGGGAUGACGUCAAAUCAUCAUGCCCCUUAUGAUUUGGGCUACACACGUGCUACAAUGGACAAUACAAAGGGCAGCGAAACCGCGAGGUCAAGCAAAUCCCAUAAAGUUGUUCUCAGUUCGGAUUGUAGUCUGCAACUCGACUACAUGAAGCUGGAAUCGCUGGUAAUCGUAGAUCAGCAUGCUACGGUGAAUACGUUCCCGGGUCU
This 1372-nucleotide ribosomal RNA is filed under the name uncultured bacterium. RNAcentral's name for it is "bacterial SSU rRNA". It matches the Rfam family "Bacterial small subunit ribosomal RNA", at positions 28 to 1381 of the family's 1533-position model. The record is from RNAcentral.